GCUGGGUGUGGUGGUGCGUGCCUGUAAUCCCAGCUCCUUGGGAGGCUGAGUCAGGAGAAUCACUUGAACCCAGGAGGCGGAGGUUGCAGUGAGCGGAGAUUGUGCCACUGCACUCCAGCCUGGGUGACAGAGCAAGACCCUGUCUCAA
Molecule: non-coding RNA, 148 nt
Filed under: Chlorocebus sabaeus (green monkey)
Lineage: Eukaryota; Metazoa; Chordata; Mammalia; Primates; Cercopithecidae
Source: Rfam by way of RNAcentral